ACGCUGGCGGCAGGCUUAACACAUGCAAGUCGAACGGUAACAGGGAUUAGCUUGCUAAUCUGCUGACGAGUGGCGGACGGGUGAGUAAUGCUUGGGAAUCUGGCUUAUGGAGGGGGACAACUACGGGAAACUGUAGCUAAUACCGCGUAAAAUCUACGGAUUAAAGGGUGGGACUUUCGAGCCACCUGCCAUAAGAUGAGCCCAAGUGGGAUUAGGUAGUUGGUUAGGUAAAGGCUGACCAAGCCGACGAUCUCUAGCUGGUCUGAGAGGAUGACCAGCCACACUGGAACUGAGACACGGUCCAGACUCCUACGGGAGGCAGCAGUGGGGAAUAUUGCACAAUGGGGGGAACCCUGAUGCAGCCAUGCCGCGUGAAUGAAGAAGGCCUUCGGGUUGUAAAGUUCUUUCGGUGACGAGGAAGGUUGAUAGGUUAAUAGCCUAUCAAAUUGACGUUAAUCACAGAAGAAGCACCGGCUAACUCCGUGCCAGCAGCCGCGGUAAUACGGGGGGUGCGAGCGUUAAUCGGAAUAACUGGGCGUAAAGGGCACGCAGGCGGUGACUUAAGUGAGAUGUGAAAGCCCCGAGCUUAACUUGGGAAUUGCAUUUCAUACUGGGUCGCUAGAGUACUUUAGGGAGGGGUAGAAUUCCACGUGUAGCGGUGAAAUGCGUAGAGAUGUGGAGGAAUACCGAAGGCGAAGGCAGCCCCUUGGGAAUGUACUGACGCUCAUGUGCGAAAGCGUGGGGAGCAAACAGGAUUAGAUACCCUGGUAGUCCACGCUGUAAACGAUGUCGAUUUGGGGAUUGGGCUUUGAGCUUGGUGCCCGUAGCUAACGUGAUAAAUCGACCGCCUGGGGAGUACGGCCGCAAGGUUAAAACUCAAAUGAAUUGACGGGGGCCCGCACAAGCGG
This 908-nucleotide ribosomal RNA is filed under the name uncultured bacterium. RNAcentral's name for it is "bacterial SSU rRNA". It matches the Rfam family "Bacterial small subunit ribosomal RNA", at positions 33 to 932 of the family's 1533-position model. The record is from RNAcentral.